GAAGCAAAGCCGCGAGGUAGAGCAAAUCUCAAAAAAACAAUCUCAGUUCAGACUGCAGGCUGCAACUUGCCUGCACGAAGUCGGAAUUGCUAGUAAUCGUAGGUCAGCAUACUACGGUGAAUACGUUCCCGGGCCUUGUACACACCGCCCGUCAAACCAUGAGAGUUGGCAACACCCGAAGUCGGUAGUCUAACCGCAAGGAGGACGCCGCCGAAGGUGGGGUUGAUGAUUAGGGUUAAGUCGUAACAAGGUAUC
RNAcentral lists this ribosomal RNA (255 nucleotides) under uncultured bacterium. RNAcentral's name for it is "partial 16S ribosomal RNA". It matches the Rfam family "Bacterial small subunit ribosomal RNA", at positions 1246 to 1500 of the family's 1533-position model. The record is from RNAcentral.